Molecule: ribosomal RNA, 497 nt
Filed under: uncultured bacterium
Lineage: Bacteria
Description: partial 16S ribosomal RNA
Rfam family: Bacterial small subunit ribosomal RNA
Source: RNAcentral
GAUGAACGCUGGCGGCGUGCCUAAUACAUGCAAGUCGAGCGAACGGACGAGAGGCUUGCUUUUCUGAUGUUAUCGGCGGACGGGUGAGUAACACGUGGAUAACCUACCUAUAAGACUGGGAUAACUUCGGGAAACCGGAGCUAAUACCGGAUAAUAUUUUGAACCGCAUGGUUCAAAAGUGAAAGACGGUCUUGCUGUCACUUAUAGAUGGAUCCGCGCUGCAUUAGCUAGUUGGUAAGGUAACGGCUUACCAAGGCAACGAUGCAUAGCCGACCUGAGAGGGAGAUCGGCCACACUGGAACUGAGACACGGUCCAGACUCCUACGGGAGGCAGCAGUAGGGAAUCUUCCGCGAUGGGCGAAAGCCUGACGGAGCAACGCCGCGUGAGUGAUGAAGGUCUUCGGAUCGUAAAACGCUGUUAUUAGGGAAGAACAUAUGUGUAAGUAACUGUGCACAUAUUGACGGUACCUACUCAGAAAGCCACGGCUAACUACGUG